Molecule: non-coding RNA, 356 nt
Organism: Ailuropoda melanoleuca (giant panda)
Lineage: Eukaryota; Metazoa; Chordata; Mammalia; Carnivora; Ursidae
Source: the annotation of a RefSeq genome assembly
UGGGCCUUGUAGCAGAAUCAGGGCCCCACCACGAUGGCCUGGACCCCUCUCCUCCUCAGUGUCCUCGCUCACUGCACAGGUUCUGUGGCUUCUUACGUGCUGACUCAGCCACACUCGGUGUCAGUGACCCUGGGACAGACGGCCAUUGUCACCUGUGGGGAAGACAACAUUGGAAGGAAAGCUGUUCAGUGGUACCAGCAGAAGCCAGGCCAGGCCCCUCUGCUGAUUAUCUAUACUGAUAGCAACCGGCCUUCAGGGAUCGCCGACCGAUUUUCUGGCUCCAACUCAGGGAACACAGCCACCCUGACUAUGAGCAGGACCCGGGCCGAGGACGAGGCUAUUACUGUCAGGUGUAG